RNAcentral lists this long non-coding RNA (1688 nucleotides) under Panax ginseng (ginseng). Its description in RNAcentral is "long non-coding RNA (PGIN_LNC005205)". The record is from RNAcentral. Lineage: Eukaryota; Viridiplantae; Streptophyta; Magnoliopsida; Apiales; Araliaceae.
GUAGAGUAUAAAUUAGUAGGCUUAGAUUUCUCACUCUCAAAUCCCUUUCACAGACUCACAAUUUCUCUCUGACAACCCUCUCUGAUUUUCUCUCUGUGAAUAGUUUAUAGACUUAGGAAAAAUAGAAAGGAUGAAGAAGACGUAAUAAAGUAACUGAGUCUUUAUGCGCAGAGUUGAGGUCAGUUACUCCAUACGUGGUUUAACUGUCCUCAACUCCUCUUAAGGCCUCAUUUGGCUAGCAACUAGAUUCACAACUCUUUAUUUUAAUAAAACCUUUUAUCAUAUAGUUUAAAUAAUGUCACACCCUUACACAAUACAUCAUAUAUCUUAUUUAAUUUAAUUUAAAUAAAAUAUAAUAGCUUCUCAUAAAUUCACAGUCAUAUAUUUAAUUUCCUCAUUAAUAAAUAAUGUCAAAUUAUUAACUCUCUAAUUAAUAAUUAAAUUAAUUAAAUAACAUCAAGCUUCGUUAAAUAUUUCAUUUAAUUCAAUAAACUCACAUAAUUACAUAUUUGAAUAAUAAUUAUUCUCUACAUUAAUUUAAUAAAUGUAACACAUAUAAUUAAAUUAAUCUACCAAAAUUGCAUCAAUUAAUUAUUUAAUCCAAUAAUUAAAUCAUCGAAAAAUAUUUAUUUAAUUCAAUAAAUAUUAAAAUUAAAUUACAAAUUCUCGUUCGUCACAGUUACUAUUCGUUCCGGUUUAUCAUUAUGCUUGCAUUAUAUUUAACUAGGUUAUCUCAACCUUCAUAUUACAUUCCUUAAGGUUUAACAAAGUUUAAACAAUGUUACAUUACCUUCCUUAAGUUAUGUUUACUUCAAUUUCUUUUCUUUGUACUUAGAAACCUUCAUUACUAUCUUUGUUCUGAGACUGGCACUGCGGCGCCAGCAUUAUACCUACAUCUCACGCUGCGGCGCGAGCUCUUAAUGUCAUUGUCCCGGACUUGGCGCUGCGACGCGAGUCCUUACUUAAUGGGCCGCGCUGCGGCGCCACACUCCAGAGGAUUUUGGUACUGUUCAUGGCGUUGCGGCGCCACAUAUUGAACUAAGUUUCGCGUUGCGGCGAACUCUUGCAAUAGGCUUGGUUACUGUUCCGCGCCGCGGCGCGGGUCUUUUUGCCUAGGGUUGGCGCCGCGGCGCCAACUCUGUGCACCAGAAAACAAAUUCAGUUUGUGAAUUUUGUGAACUUCCCGAACGUAUAACUUCUUCGUUAUAAGUCCGAAUUAGCUCAUUCAAAAGCCUACGGUUCACAAAUUACAUAAUCUACAUGAUCAUUCAAGAAUUUUAUCUAUUUGACUGAAAACGAUAAACGUUCGUGAACGUUCAACGCUCGUUUCUUCGUUCUAAGUCGGAAUCCGGUCAUUUUCGAGUCCGCAACUCUUAAAUGCCAAAUAUGACUUGUCUCUAUUGGAAAACAAUGGUUUCGUGAUCAAACACAAAAUUUGACUUCCAUUCCGAGAAUUUUACGUAUUCGACGUUUAUCGUCCAAUCGUGCAAUUUCCGGCAAUUCUUCAUUCUUAUGAUUUGUUCAACAUUACAAAUGAACUUCAUUCAUCAUGUGAACAUCUCAACAUACUUAAUACAACAACUUAUAUUCAUUGUUGUAUUUUAGACUUAUUCUUCAUGAGCUUAUAACUUGUCAUUUAUAAACUACUUAAGAUUUGAUUAUUCAUGACUUAUGACAAUUAAGNNNNN